GAGGGUAUAGCUUAAGUGGUAGAGCGCAUGCCUAGCAUGUCUGAGGUCCUGGGUUCAAUCCCUAGUCCCUCCA
RNAcentral lists this transfer RNA (73 nucleotides) under Camelus bactrianus (Bactrian camel). It matches the Rfam family "tRNA". From Rfam's summary of the family: Transfer RNA (tRNA) molecules are approximately 80 nucleotides in length. Their secondary structure includes four short double-helical elements and three loops (D, anti-codon, and T loops). Further hydrogen bonds mediate the characteristic L-shaped molecular structure. tRNAs have two regions of fundamental functional importance: the anti-codon, which is responsible for specific mRNA codon recognition, and the 3' end, to which the tRNAs corresponding amino acid is attached (by aminoacyl-tRNA synthetases). tRNAs cope with the degeneracy of the genetic code in two manners: having more than one tRNA (with a specific anti-codon) for a particular amino acid; and 'wobble' base-pairing, i.e. permitting non-standard base-pairing at the 3rd anti-codon position. The record is from Rfam by way of RNAcentral. RNAcentral also lists the same sequence under 2 other names. Lineage: Eukaryota; Metazoa; Chordata; Mammalia; Artiodactyla; Camelidae.